Dermochelys coriacea (leatherback sea turtle) is the source of this 2803-nucleotide long non-coding RNA. RefSeq lists it as uncharacterized. NCBI's taxonomy places the organism in Eukaryota, Metazoa, Chordata, Testudines, Dermochelyidae. The transcript has 2 exons. The record is from RefSeq and is a predicted model, not a curated record.
GGAGGGCUUUAAACUGUUUCAUCGGGGGAAGGAGACCAAAGCCCUGAGGAAUGAAAGAAAAGAAAAGAAAAUUAGUCUUAUCAGCAAUUUCUGCCUGAUCCUGCAGCUGCUGCAGACACAGAAUUCCAGUGGGCCUUCUACAUACAGGACAGAUGGAGAAUUGGGUACAUAAAACAAAACCUUUGUCAAGUUUUAUUAUUAAAAACUGCUGCACAACAGAAUCAUGGAAGAGGGUGAAAGGAAAGAAUGUAAGGCCCAAAGACAGACUAUGGAAACAUUUACAAACACAGUCUUAUGAAACUAUAUUGCAAAAGAACUAUACAGCAUCUUUUCCAAGUAAAAAGAAACCUAUUUCCUCCAUUAACUGACUCUGAAAUAUCUGACAGAGCCUGCAGCUAAAUUUAAAAUCUUUUUUUUUUCCUUUUAAACUAAGGAGGCUUGAUUAUAUGACAGCUGUACACAAACUCUGAACUGCACAUGGUAGGGCUUCAAUACCAAAAGAUAUUUUAAAAAGCAUUCCCUGAAACUUGGAUUCCACAUGCCCCUUCUCUUUGUAGCCACUCUCUUUUAUGGGACCUGUCAAUUUCCUCGAAUCCCUUGCCUAUGAUGUCCCCAAAGGAAAAGCUGUUUCCAAAACCUCCCUGAUGCCUUCUCCAGGAAAUGCUCCUUUAGUACAAAUGUCUAACCCAGAAUUUUUGCUCUGACUUGAAGUAGAAUUGAUCACCAAUGCGCCAAUGCUAUUUCCAUAGGGUCAGUAUCAGUGGAUGUCCACUAUACUGUAUGAGAAAAGUAAGUGUUGCUGGUUGGAUGUUCAAGAAACUUCAGAUCUAGGACUAGAGGUCAUCUUCUCCUCACAUCCAUUAUAUUCCUUAUCACAAGAAGCUGAAAUUCCUGUGAUGUUUCAUCUUCAGAAGGUGCUCUUCUAGUGCCAAAAGGUGCAAUGUCAGUCCAAUAUACUCUGUUAUAAAUUUAAAUUAAAUGCCCUUUUUCUUUCGUUUAUGGUGCAUUAUAAAAAAAGGUUGUUUUUAACAUCUUGAUUUUUGUCUCAAGUUCCAGAGAAAAUAAUUAAAUUAAAAUAAAGAGAGGGCAAAUGGGACUCUUUCAGAAAGACAUUUCUAAACCAAGUAAUGCAUCUUUACAGAAAUUUAAGGCCCUGCCAUUUAUAAUUCUGCAGCGUUUCUUCUGUAGAUAGACACCCUUAAAUAUCAUUCUUUAUCCCCAUAAUGUAGAAUAAAGGUUUGGUAAUGCAUACAAUUUGUAAGAACUAUUCAAUUUCAGAAUCUUCCAACUACAUUUUGAAAGAAGUUAGGGUUAUAAUUUGUCAUGGCAAACAAAGCUUAACGCUUUAGUCAACUAACCAACCCCUAACAAUAAGAAUGACAUAAGAAUUUAAUGAAUACAUGGAAAUUUUACAAGUACACCAGCUAAGUUUUAACAAAGCCCUCUACUCAAUACCCAUUUUAUCACUUCCCAUCUUGGGCUUUUUGUUAUAAUAAUGCAGGCUUUUGUUUCUGUGCUUAGGCUUAAGGAAGACCAUUGUAUCCAACAUAUACUAAACCAAAACUGUGUUUAUAUUUGUCAAAUGUAUUCUUUGUAUAAUUAUACUUGUCUGUAGGCUGCAAUAGAAAUUUCAAUGUUUAUAGUAAAAUACAUGCCCACAGUCAAGAUAAUUUUAUGUCCUAUGUUAUAUUCAAAACCGUACACAUCAUUAUAACUAAACAAAGUUCUAUAAUUAAUGCUGUACUGAAAACCGCAUUUCUAGUGUAUCUGCCUGCAUAUCUUCAGUUUCAAAAACUUUUACUGUUAACUAUAACUGUACCUAAUAACAACUUGCUAACAUUUGUUAGAAAAGUAACUUGGGAAAAACAAAAAUAGUUUUAUCAACUGGGGAAGUAUCUAAUUAUCACCUGCAUUUCUUGAACUCUCAUAUCUUUACUAUUUUAAACUGCAGAAAGUCACAUAUUAAUGCAGAUCUAUGGUUGAGAAAUCCAACACUCAAAGCUAAAAAUUCCUAAAGUUAGAUUGUUCCCAAAUGCUUAGACAUAUAUAGAGGUAGUAUUUAUUACUGAACCAACUUCUGCUUGCCAAAAACUCUCUCUCACCAACUGAAGUUGGUCUGAUAAAGAUAUUACCUCACUCACCUUGUCUCUCUAAUAUCCUGGGACCGACACAGCAUAGACUUAUGUAUUUCUAUUCCUCUCUUCCCUAUUAAAUGCAUUAUUCUCCGCCAUCAGAUGUGAAGUGUGGCAGAGUAAAUGUCAUGGGAUCAAACGUUAAGAAAUCACACUUAAAUUCCAAAGGUUAACUACAUAGGAAAAAAAACAGUUUUUCCUUAAACGUUCCUGGGGCUGUCUAAAACCAACCACACGUACACACAUGCACAAGAAAAUCCCCCUCCUCCCCGUUUUUUUAAUCCAUGGAGCCCGUGAGCACUGCUUGCUUUGACCCUGGAUCGUAUGAAAGUUUCUUGAAUCACAACUGAACAGUUACAAAUUUUAAUGGCUACCUUUGUUAAGUGACUAAAUCAGCAGAGGGAUGUCAAGUUUUAUCCUUUCCUCUCAUGCACAUGUGAACUUACCAACUUCAUAUGUUUAUAGGUUUAAAACUACAGAAACUUACCAAUCUGAUUUGUUUUAAUGUUAUAAUUUUUACAGAACAAACCAAGUAUUAAAUUUUUAGCUUCAACUUUAUGAGUUAUCCAACUUCAACAUUACAGAAAGGCAAUAAGAGACUAUAUUAAGAAAUUGUAGCAGUGGUAUAGGCCCAUUACUAAAUGGAGAUGGUAAAAUUGUUCAUAAUGCAG